UUGGUGCGGAUGUCACAAGAGAAGUUGCUCAGAAUUGUUUGGAAUUGAAUAACAGCAGUGAGAAACAGCCCCUCAUUGGCCCGCUAUAGAGAAAUCAUAAAGCUCAACUGGCAAGAGAUUGGGCAGGGAAAGUAAGACAUGUCUCUUCUCAUAAAGUCAGCAAAGGCAUUCCAUAACCACACAGAGCAGUCAGCACGUGUGUCAUCAGACAGAAGUGGAAGUUUUGAUGUUGAGAAUCCCAGCUGCAUAUUUCUAGCAUGAGGGGCUUGCUGUCUGCUCAGUAAAAGAACAGACUGGAUCCAAGAAAAGAACACGGUCUUGUCCCUGACAGAGAUCCAAAUGUCUUCUAAUUAGAAUUCUACCAUACAACAAGAAGUAAUAGCAUUAACAAUACUUUACACGUGGAAUCUUUUGCAUCUAUCUACAAAUCUGCAAGGAAGUUUCUCCUGCAGGCCUGGGCCCUUUGGGAUUUGCUGAGCUUUUUCAAACCUGUAGAAGGAGUAAUCUGUUCACCAAUAAGGAAAUUUAUUUAGUGUUAACAUCUGUGGUCCCUUUGUGGCCUAUCAACCUCCAACCAUGAAAAGGAAUGUUUGAAAUGGACUUUUCUGGGACACCACGGAAACCUUACAGAUGACAUCUGAGCCAUGGGUUAUGACGACUUUGGAAAACACCACAGUAAAUACUUGUUGUCUUAAUUUUCCAACAUAAGUGAAAACAGAUGUUUGCACUGAAUGGCCAAUAAAGAACAAGUAUUA
Long non-coding RNA from Gorilla gorilla gorilla (western lowland gorilla), 755 nucleotides. RefSeq lists it as uncharacterized. The transcript is spliced from 5 exons. NCBI's taxonomy places the organism in Eukaryota, Metazoa, Chordata, Mammalia, Primates, Hominidae. The record is from RefSeq and is a predicted model, not a curated record.